RNAcentral lists this ribosomal RNA (446 nucleotides) under uncultured bacterium. RNAcentral describes it as "partial 16S ribosomal RNA". It matches the Rfam family "Bacterial small subunit ribosomal RNA", at positions 338 to 795 of the family's 1533-position model. The record is from RNAcentral.
CCUACGGGUGGCAGCAGUCGAGAAUCAUUCACAAUGGGGGAAACCCUGAUGGUGCGACGCCGCGUGGGGGAAUGAAGGUCUUCGGAUUGUAAACCCCUGUCAUGUGGGAGCAAAUUAAAAAGAUAGUACCACAAGAGGAAGAGACGGCUAACUCUGUGCCAGCAGCCGCUGUAGUACAGAGGUCUCAAUCGUUGUUCUGAAUCACUGGGCGGAAAGCGUGCGUAGGCUGUUUCGUAAGUCGUGUGUGAAAGGCGCGGGCUCAACCCGCGGACGGCACAUGAUUUUGCGAGACUAGAGUAAUGGAGGGGGAACCGGAAUUCUCGGUGUAGCAGUGAAAUGCGUAGAUAUCGAGAGGAACACUCGUGGCGAAGGCGGGUUCCUGGACAUUAACUGACGCUGAGGCACGAAGGCCAGGGGAGCGAAAGGGAUUAGAUACCCUUGUAGUC